Molecule: ribosomal RNA, 434 nt
Filed under: uncultured Sphingopyxis sp.
Lineage: Bacteria; Pseudomonadati; Pseudomonadota; Alphaproteobacteria; Sphingomonadales; Sphingopyxidaceae
Description: bacterial SSU rRNA
Rfam family: Bacterial small subunit ribosomal RNA
Source: RNAcentral
AGAGUUUGAUCAUGGCUCAGAACGAACGCUGGCGGCAUGCUUAACACAUGCAAGUCGAACGAGACCUUCGGGUCUAGUGGCGCACGGGUGCGUAACGCGUGGGAAUCUGCCCUUUGCUACGGAAUAACUCAGAGAAAUUUGUGCUAAUACCGUAUGAUGUCGAAAGACCAAAGAUUUAUCGGCAAAGGAUGAGCCCGCGUAGGAUUAGCUUGUUGGUGAGGUAAAAGCUCACCAAGGCGACGAUCCUUAGCUGGUCUGAGAGGAUGAUCAGCCACACUGGGACUGAGACACGGCCCAGACUCCUACAGGAGGCAGCAGUGGGGAAUAUUGGACAAUGGGCGAAAGCCUGAUCCAGCCAUGCCGCGUGGGUGAAGAAGGCCUUAGGGUUGUAAACCCCUUUCAGCGGGGACGAUAAUGACGGUACCCGCAGAAGA